GAAAUUUGUGGAAGACAAAUUCAGAAGUCUAAAGCUUGGACUAGAACGAGCAGACAAGCUUGCAAGGAAUUUGGGUAAAAUUGAAUAUGAGGAAGGGAAAUUAGGGAUUUGGACUCUUGGGAAAUUAAAAAGAAAAAAUAAAAGAAAUAAAAAUAAUGUCUUCCAUUUUAAAAGAAAAAGCCACAUUAAUGAUAAAUCAUUCCUAAGCUUUGAAAACAG
This 219-nucleotide long non-coding RNA is filed under the name Lathyrus oleraceus (garden pea). RNAcentral describes it as "Pisum sativum (pea) long non-coding RNA (PSAT_LNC034542)". The record is from RNAcentral. Lineage: Eukaryota; Viridiplantae; Streptophyta; Magnoliopsida; Fabales; Fabaceae.